GUCGAGCGGUAGAGAGAAGCUUGCUUCUCUUGAGAGCGGCGGACGGGUGAGUCCCUUAUAAGGCCUCUGCCUGGUAGUGGGGGAUAACGUUCGGAAACCAUCGCUAAUACCGCAUACGUCCUACGGGAGAAAGCAGGGGACCUUCGGGCCUUGCGCUAUCAGAUGAGCCUAGGUCGGAUUAGCUAGUUGGUGGGGUAAUGGCUCACCAAGGCGACGAAUCCGUAACUGGUCUGAGAGGAUGAUCAGUCACACUGGAACUGAGACACGGUCCAGACUCCUACGGGAGGCAGCAGUGGGGAAUAUUGGACAAUGGGCGAAAGCCUGAUCCAGCCAUGCCGCGUGUGUGAAGAAGGUCUUCGGAUUGUAAAGCACUUUAAGUUGGGAGGAAGGGCCAUUACCUAAUACGUGAUGGUUUUGACGUUACCGACAGAAUAAGCACCGGCUAACUCUGUGCCAGCAGCCGCGGUAAUACAGAGGGUGCAAGCGUUAAUCGGAAUUACUGGGCGUAAAGCGCGCGUAGGUGGUUUGUUAAGUUGGAUGUGAAAUCCCCGGGCUCAACCUGGGAACUGCAUUCAAAACUGACUGACUAGAGUAUGGUAGAGGGUGGUGGAAUUUCCUGUGUAGCGGUGAAAUGCGUAGAUAUAGGAAGGAACACCAGUGGCGAAGGCGACCCACCUGACUGAUACUGACACUGAGGUGCGAAAGCGUGGGGAGGAAACAAGAAUAGAUAAACUGGGUAGUCCACGCCGCAAACGAUGUCCACUAGGCGUUGGGGAGCCUGAGGUCUUAUUGGCGCGGCUAACGCCUUAAGAUGACCGCCUGGGGGGGACCGGCGCCGGGGUAAAA
RNAcentral lists this ribosomal RNA (846 nucleotides) under uncultured bacterium. RNAcentral's name for it is "bacterial SSU rRNA". It matches the Rfam family "Bacterial small subunit ribosomal RNA", at positions 61 to 899 of the family's 1533-position model. The record is from RNAcentral.